UGAAAUUAAGUGGAUUAGUGGCGAACGGGUGAGUAACACGUGAGUAACCUGCCUUACACAAGGGGAUAGCCUUUGGAAACGAAGAAUAAUACCCUAUAAAGUUAGUCAAUCGCAUGGUAGACUAACCAAAGAUUUAUCGGUGUAAGAUGGACUUGCGUCUGAUUAGCUAGUUGGUGAGAUAAAAGCCCACCAAGGCGACGAUCAGUAGCCGGCUUGAGAGAGUGUACGGCCACAUUGGGACUGAGACACGGCCCAAACUCCUACGGGAGGCAGCAGUGGGGAAUUUUGCACAAUGGGGGAAACCCUGAUGCAGCGACGCCGCGUGAUUUAGAAGGCCUUCGGGUUGUAAAAAUCUUUUUUAUGGGAUGAAAAUGACAGUACCAUAAGAAUAAGGUCCGGCUAAAUACGUGCCAGCAGCCGCGGUAAUACGUAUGGACCGAGCGUUGUCCGGAAUCAUUGGGCGUAAAGGGUACGUAGGCGGCCUAGUAAGUUAGAAGUGAAAUAAUAUAGCUCAACUAUAUAAAGCUUUUAAAACUGUUAGGCUUGAGAGAUGAAAGGGAAAGUGGAAUUCCUAGUGUAGCGGUGAAAUGCGCAGAUAUUAGGAAGAAUACCGGUGGCGAAGGCGACUUUCUGGUCAUCAUCUGACGCUGAGGUACGAAAGCGUGGGUAGCAAACAGGAUUAGAUACCCUGGUAGUCCACGCUGUAAACGAUGAGUGUUAGGUUCUUGGAAUAAUCUGGGAGCCGCAGCUAACGCAUUAAACACUCCGCCUGGGGAGUACGCACGCAAGUGUGAAACUCAAAGGAAUUGACGGGGACCCGCACAAGCAGCGGAGCAUGUGGUUUAAUUCGACGCAACG
Molecule: ribosomal RNA, 858 nt
Filed under: human gut metagenome
Description: bacterial SSU rRNA
Rfam family: Bacterial small subunit ribosomal RNA
Source: RNAcentral